RNAcentral lists this ribosomal RNA (253 nucleotides) under uncultured bacterium. Its description in RNAcentral is "partial 16S ribosomal RNA". It matches the Rfam family "Bacterial small subunit ribosomal RNA", at positions 524 to 776 of the family's 1533-position model. The record is from RNAcentral.
UACAGAGGGGGCAAGCGUUGUUCGGAAUUACUGGGCGUAAAGGGCGCGUAGGCGGCCUUCUAAGUCGAACGUGAAAUCCCCGGGCUCAACCCGGGAACUGCGUCCGAUACUGGAAGGCUUGAAUUCGGGAGAGGGAUGCGGAAUUCCAGGUGUAGCGGUGAAAUGCGUAGAUAUCUGGAGGAACACCGGUGGCGAAGGCGGCAUCCUGGACCGGCAUUGGCGCUGAGGCGCGAAAGCCAGGGGAGCAAACGGG